AUUGAACGCUGGCGGCAUGCUUUACACAUGCAAGUCGAACGGCAGCGCGGACUUCGGUCUGGCGGCGAGUGGCGAACGGGUGAGUAAUAUAUCGGAACGUACCCAAGAGUGGGGAUAACGUAGCGAAAGUUACGCUAAUACCGCAUACGAUCUAAGGAUGAAAGCAGGGGAUCGCAAGACCUUGUGCUCCUGGAGCGGCCGAUAUCUGAUUAGCUAGUUGGUGAGGUAAAGGCUCACCAAGGCAACGAUCAGUAGCUGGUCUGAGAGGACGACCAGCCACACUGGAACUGAGACACGGUCCAGACUCCUACGGGAGGCAGCAGUGGGGAAUUUUGGACAAUGGGGGCAACCCUGAUCCAGCAAUGCCGCGUGAGUGAAGAAGGCCUCGGUUGUAAGACUCUUUGUUCAGGGAAGAAAGGACGUGUGGCUAAUAUCCAUAGCUGCUGACGGUACCUGAAGAAUAAGCACCGGCUAA
This 475-nucleotide ribosomal RNA is filed under the name uncultured bacterium. RNAcentral describes it as "bacterial SSU rRNA". It matches the Rfam family "Bacterial small subunit ribosomal RNA", at positions 30 to 500 of the family's 1533-position model. The record is from RNAcentral.